Molecule: long non-coding RNA, 1116 nt
Organism: Quercus robur (English oak)
Lineage: Eukaryota; Viridiplantae; Streptophyta; Magnoliopsida; Fagales; Fagaceae
Exons: 3
Source: RefSeq, a predicted model, not a curated record
AACCUCCUUCCUCCAAAACGCAGACCCCUGCCAUCUCCUUCUUCCUCCAAAACAAAGACCCCUGCCGUUCCUUUCUCUUCUCUAUUUCUAGCCUCUUCUUCCCCAAAACCCAACACUGAAAAUCAAUCUUGCCAAGAAGUCAUGCCCACACUGUCAGGUCCAAAAUAGAAAGAAGGCAUCACCGAUCUUUCCACGAUGCUACUCACAAGGACCGAUCUCUACCUUUGAGCACUGACGACAGCCAUCAAAACUGGGCAUUAUACUCCGGCUGAAUUUAUUCAGCCCAUUGUAUAUUUCAAUUAUGUCAGUUGGCAAAGGGAGGCAUUAUUCAUCAAGAUUCUGCAGGCCAUAAGGAUACAAUUGGACCCUGUGAUGUGCAGAAAAAGAAAAAAAGAAGAGAUUGUUGGCCAAUAAAUGAGGAAGAGCAGGGCAAAGGGAAGAUGGGGCAUUGCAAAGCCAAUACUCACUUUGAUUGGUAAUCUGGUACCUUCUUUGUUUACUGCAUAAUUAUAUUUUUUUAGAAUUUGUUAUUCUUAUUCCAUUGAUGUUGUGAGCUGUAGAUGGUUCUCUUAAAAAAGAACCACUAUAGGCAUGAGAAUUACAAUUUUCAUAAUGAUUUAUGCAUUAGUUAGAGAUAAUAAGUGCUCAGGUAUAAUAUUUCCAUCAUUUGUGAACAAAUCCUUGGAAGUUAAGAGUUCAGUACCACUGACAUCUACAUUCUUUAAAUGCUUUAGAUAUUUAAGCAUGCGCAACUAAAGAUAAAUGAGCUAUGUAGUAGGAGAAUUGUACAUAUUUUUAAUUACUCUAAGUCACUUUUACCCAAGUCAACAAAACUUUGAGUUGAAUAGCUGACUGAAUUCAAAUAUAAGAAUCAUGAGUGUAAGCUGUUAUGUCCUUCACAAAUCUGUUAAGAAAAUUAUUGGACUAGCCUUGGCCCUAAUGUAGCACAAAAUGCUACAGUAAAUGCUGUUAACCCAACCAAUUAUGACCAAAUGAAACAAUUAACAUCAUAGCAUUAUGUAUUUUAAGUUGAAAUUAUUUUGUAUUUCAAAGUUGUUUCUAUGUUAAACUACUUCCAAAAUGUCCUGAUUUUCUAUACUUAUGCAUUCAGACUGC